This 274-nucleotide ribosomal RNA is filed under the name uncultured bacterium. RNAcentral describes it as "partial 16S ribosomal RNA". It matches the Rfam family "Bacterial small subunit ribosomal RNA", at positions 523 to 796 of the family's 1533-position model. The record is from RNAcentral.
AUACGGAGGGGGCGAGCGUUAUUCGGAAUUAUUGGGCGUAAAGGGCAGGUAGGCGGUACUGUGUGUCCCCUGUGAAAGCCCUCGGCUCAACCGAGGAAUUGCAGAGGAAACUACAGAACUUGAGUCCGGGAGAGGGUAGCGGAAUUCCCAGUGUAGCGGUGAAAUGCGUAGAUAUUGGGAAGAACACCAGUGGCGAAGGCGGCCACCUGGCCCGGUACUGACGCUGAGGUGCGAAAGCGUGGGGAGCAAACAGGAUUAGAAACCCCAGUAGUCC